RNAcentral lists this ribosomal RNA (467 nucleotides) under uncultured bacterium. RNAcentral's name for it is "partial 16S ribosomal RNA". It matches the Rfam family "Bacterial small subunit ribosomal RNA", at positions 28 to 507 of the family's 1533-position model. The record is from RNAcentral.
GACGAACGCUGGCGGCGUGCUUAACACAUGCAAGUCGAACGGAAAGGCCUCUUUCGGGGGGUACUCGAGUGGCGAACGGGUGAGUAACACGUGAGUAACUUGCCCUUGACUUUGGGUUAACUUCAGGAAACUGGGACGAACACCGGACAGGAGCUCCUGCUGCAUGGUGGGGGCUGGAAAGUUUCGGCGGUUUGGGAUGGAUUCGCGGCGUAUCGGCUUGUCGGUGGGGUAAUGGGUUACCAAGGCCUUGACGGGUAGCCGGUCUGGGGAGGUGAGAGGCGGCCUUGAGUCUGAGGGACGGCAGAGGCUGGUACGGGUGGGAAAUGGGGGGAAUAUUGCACAAGGGAUGGAAGGCUGGUGCAGCAGCGCCGUGUACGGGAUGACGGCCUUCGGGUUGAAGAACGCUUGCGCUCGUAACGAAGCUUUGUGUGACGGUACUGGGUAAAGAAGCACCGGCUAACUACGUG